RNAcentral lists this long non-coding RNA (232 nucleotides) under Anas platyrhynchos platyrhynchos (common mallard). RNAcentral describes it as "lncRNA (ENSAPLG00000029928.1)". The record is from RNAcentral. Lineage: Eukaryota; Metazoa; Chordata; Aves; Anseriformes; Anatidae.
GCUGACCGCGCUCCCGCAGGCGCUGCUGGUGCCCGGGAAGAGCCCGUCCCGGCGGCGGCCCGGCCCGCUCGGCUCCCGCCGCUCCAGCGCCAUCGGCAUCGAGAGCAUCCAGGAGGCGCCGCCCGGCAGGGCGGAGAGGCCGGAGCCUCCGCGGGACUUCUCCCGCUCGUCCUCCAGCGCCAGCAGCUUCGGCAGCGUGGCCGAGGAGCCGGACGAGCACCCCGAGGCCGAG